This 4992-nucleotide long non-coding RNA is filed under the name Sus scrofa (pig). RNAcentral's name for it is "lncRNA (ENSSSCG00055018329.1)". Lineage: Eukaryota; Metazoa; Chordata; Mammalia; Artiodactyla; Suidae. The record is from RNAcentral.
AUCUCCAACCACGCGGGCUCUCGCCGGGAAAGGAUUUCCCAGGAGUCUCCGAGGGCCGCCCGCUGUUGUGGGGCUGGGCGGGGCACCUGGCCGGGGUGUGCGGGGUCUCCGAGGCUGGAGGAUCUGGCCCCUCCCAGCAGAAAGCUGAGGACCCGGUUCCCUCACAGCGCGCGCGGCUGGGCGGUGAGGGGCAGCAAGGAUCCCGCUAACCAGACGCAGGGAACGGUGGAGGCUGGAGAAACCCUUUCCUGCCGCCCUGGUGACCUGCGCCUCCAGCGCUGGAUGCGGCAGAGUGGCGCCCAACGCGGGGCUGGAAGAGAAGGUCUGCCAGGAGCCGGAAAAGGUGAAACUGCAGACGUUGGAAACGGUAGCCUUGCCGUUGACGGAGUCGAGACCGACCUGCUGACAGCGUUGGAGAAGACAGCAAUGUUCACCAUUGUCCAGUGGGCAAGAUUGUGACUCAGCCGUGGAACCCUUCAUCAUCUCAGUGGCCAGGUCCUCAAUCUACUUUGUGAAGCCAGGUCUCUGCCCUCCCCAGUAAGUCUGCACAGUGGCUACUUUAUACCUGGGGAAAAAACCCUAAAAAAACAAUCAAGCCACAACACUGACUGAAAGUAUGAGGAAACCCACUGUCUCCAAUGGAAAAGAUUCAACCACUAGAAGUCAGGUGUCCGAGCUUGCUGCAUCCAGGAAGGAUGACAUGUAACCUGCCUGGAGCAAGUUUGUGGCAAGGCAGAGGACUGGCACCCAGAGUCCGGGGGCUGGAAUCCUGGCAAGGGGCCACCUUAAUGCCCUCUGCCUUUGUCCUCUGGACACCCACAUCCUGUCUUUCAUUCCUCGCAAGGCAAGUCUGCCGCCCACUGCCUGGCUGCCUGGCAUAUGUCCUGCCUCCCAGUCUUGUGUCGUGUUCCCUAACUGCUCCCCACUCCUCUGUCUUCUCUGGGUCUCAUGAGACCCCUAAGACCCAGUGGCCACUGCAGGUGGCUCAAGGACUCCCCUAUUUUAGGACCCCUCUGGACUGCUGUUGCCUGCGAACCAGUGGCAGGUUUGACAGGUUCUAUCCAAUAGGAGACAGUCUUCUUGGAACUUAAGAAACUGACCAGGCAGAAUCCAGACAAAACGCAGUGAAGCUAAGGGAAUCUCUAACUACUCCAAUACCUAAGAGCUCCACAGCACAACAAAGGGAUAAGUACUGAAGAGCCUGAUGAAGUUAGGAUUUCCAUAAGAGACCACAGAUGCUGGCUCUAAAUAGGGAGACUUCCAAACUGCUACUUUCAGCUGCCAUCAACACAUCUGGCCCAGUGCUGACUUGUGUCCAUCAGGAGCACUGGGCUUCACAUGCCCAAUGGUACAGGAAAAAGGAGUGCUCAUAAACCUGCCUUCACCCUUCUCUUGGCCACGAGCAUGCAGCCCUGUGAAACAGACUCCCAGCCACCCCUUUGCCAUUUACAGCUAGGCCCAGAGCUGCACAGAAAGCCAAGGACUGCAGCUCUGUGCUGCACCAUUGAGUAACCGUGUGAGGAUGACCACCACCCCACUUCCCCCACACAUCACAUGAGCUGAAACAAGGCCUGCACUAGACCACGAGGGUAGGGAACCAGGAUGUCUGGUUCUGUUCAAGGAGCACCCAGUCAGUGCCUGACACAGCUUAGGGUGAAACAUGACUGAAUUACCUCAAAAUGGAUGGGAAAGGGCUUUGAAUUCUAAGAGAAAGAUUGAGAAGGAAACAAAUUAUGGCUUGACACAGUCAAAAGGAGGAGUGGGAAAAGUACUGUUCUGGGAGAGGCUCCAUACAUGAGAAGCCGGAUUUGAACCUGAAGAAGUUAAGCAUUUAGUCUUACAAGUAAAACGCAGUCUACACAUUGCACAGGAACAGAAAUAAUUUCUGGAUUGUAAAAAGAAAAGCAGCUCUUACUUGGCUUAUCCCUCCCAGAAUGGGAGAGGGCCCAAGUUCUAUUACUGGGAUUUGCAGCACUUUAGUAACAAACUGCUAUGGCAAGGCUGAAAAUUGUAAGACACUGAUGAAAGAAAUCAAAGAUGACACAAACAGAAAGAUAUAUAUGAUGUUCUUGGAUUGGAAGAAUCAACAUUGUCAAAAUGACCAUACUACCCAAGGCGAUCUAUAGAUUUAACACAAUCCCUAUCAAAUUACCAAUGGCAUUUUUCACAGAACUAGAACAAAAAUUUAGAACUUUGUAUAGAAACACAAAGUAUCCAAGUAACCAUAGCAAUCUUAAGAAAGAAAAAUGGAGUUGGAGGAAUCAGAUUCCCUGACUUCAGACUAUACUACAAAGCUACCGUCAUCAAAACAGAAUGGUACUGGCACAAAAACAAAAAUGUAGACCAAUGGGACAGGAUAGAAAGCCCAGAGAUAAACCCAUGCACCUAUGGUCAUUUAAUCUAUGACAAAGGAGGCAAUAAUAUACAAAUGGAGAAAAGACAGUCUCUUCAAUAAGCGGUGCUGAGAAAACUAGCACAUUCAUGUAAAAGAAUGAAAUUAGAACAUUCUCUAACACCAAACACAAAGACUCAAAUUGGCUUAAAGACCUAAACAUAGGUUGGAUACUAAACUUUAGAGGAAAACACAGGCAGAACACUAUCAUAAACUACAGCAAUGUCUUUCUGGCCUACCUCCUAGAGUUAUGAAAAUUAAAAAAAAACAACAAAUGGAACUUUAACUUACAAGCUUUUGCAUAGCAAAAGAAACCAUAAACAAAAUGAAAAGACAAUCCACAGAAUGGGAGAAAAUAUUUGCCAAAGAAGUAACCAACAGGAAUAAUCUCCAAAACAUACAAACAUCUCAUGCGUCUCUAUAUCUAAAAAAAAAAACCCAAUCAAAAAAUGGGCAGAAGAUCUAAACAGACAUUUCUCCAAAGAUAGAUGGCCAAAAACCACAUGAAAAGAUGCUCAACAUCACUAAUUAUUGGAGAAAUACAAAUCGAAACUACAAUGGGAGGAGUUCCUGCUGUGGUGUAACAGGAUCAGCCAUGUCUUGGGAGCACCAGGAUGGGAUGCAGGCUCACUGGCCCACCAUGGUGGGCUAAGAAUCCGGCAUUGCUGCAGCUGUAGCUUCAGUCACAACUCCAGCUCAGAUGUGAUCCCUGGCGUGGGAACUCUAUGAGCUGCAGGGAGGAUAAAAAAAAAACUACAAUGGGGUGUCACCUCACACCAGUCAGAAUGGCUAUCAUCAAAAUGUCUACAAACAAUAACUGCUGGAGAGGGUGUGGCGAAAACAGAACCCUCCUACACUGCUGGUAGAAAUGUAAAUUGGCACAACCAUUAUGGAAAACAGUAUGGAGCUUCCUUAAAAAACUAAAUAAAGAACUGCCAUAUGAUCCAGCAGUCCCACUCCUGGCAUAUAUAUGAAGAAAACCAGAAGUUGAAAGAUACACACACCCUAAUGUUUGCUGCAGCACUUUUUACAAUAGCCAAGACAUGGAAGCAACCUUAAUGUCCAUCAAGGAGUUCUCACUGUGGCACAGUGGGUUAAGGAUCAGGCUUUGUCUGUGGUGAUGCGGUUUUGAUCCCUGGCCUUGGAACUUCCAUAUACCACAGGCACAGCCAAAAACCAAAAGACAAAACUAGAAAACCACAAAUGUCCAUUGACAGAGGAAUGAAUAAAGAUGUGGAACACGUAUACAAUGGAGUAUCACUCAGCCAUAAAAAAGAACGAAAUAAUGCCAUUUGCAGCAACAUGGGUGGACCUAGAGAUCAUCAUACUAAGGGAAGUAAAUCAGAAAGAGAAAGACAUUAAUACCACCUUUAUGUGUAAUUUUUUAAAUGAUACAAAAUAGAAACAGACUCACAGAUUUUGAAAUUACCAAAGGGGAAAUAUGUGUGUGUGGGGAAAUGGAUAAAUUAGAGGUUUGGAAUUACAUAUACAUAUUACUAUACAUAAAAUAGAUAACGACCUAAUAUAUAGCAGAGGGAACUGGACUCAAUAUUCUAUAAUAACCAGAAUUCACGUCUUGGCUCAGUGGUAACCCAACUAAUAUCCACGAGGAUGUGGGUUCAAUCCCUGGCCUUAUUCAGUGGGUUAAGGAUCUGGCAUGGCUGCAGCUCUGAUUCGACCUCUAGUCUGAGAACUCACAUAUGCCAUGAGUGUGGUCCUAAAAAAAAAGAAAAAAAAGUCUGUAAUAAUCUAUAUGGGGAAAAAAAAACACGUAUAUAUGUAUAACUGAUUCACUUUGCUGUACACCUAAAACUAACACAACAUUGUAAAUCAACUAUACGCCAAUGGAAUUAAAAAAACAAAAAAAACUCUUACCUAGCUUAUCCCUCCCAGAAGAGGGGAAGGCCUGAGUCUUUUAUUAGAUUUGCAGUUCUCCAAUACAAAUUGCUGUAGAAAGGCCAACACCUGUGUUAGGAGUCCUUGUUUUUGAAGUGAUGUUAUUGUUGAAAAUUGCAAAAGAAAUGGGAUUGAAUGACCAAAGGAGACUGCCCAGGCCAGUGUGCACUGGAAGACCAGAAGGAGAACAGGCCGGAUUCCUUCUGAGCCUGUGCUGUCUGACCUGCUUCUGUGGAAGAGAACUGCACAGUUGACAUUCAUUUAUGUACAAAACUGCUACAUUCUGAGGUGCUGACGUAAAUGUAAGGCUUUAUAAAACACACAUAUCUACAUACAACACUGGAUCUGGUCAGCAGUGAGAACUGCUAUGCAGACACGGUAGAUUCUAUUUUUAACACUUUAUUGGCAAAACAGAACUCCCUUCCCUCCACCCAUACAGAGUAACUAGUCUUUUUGUUUUUCUUGUGGGUAACAUAACUUACCUCCUUAACCAAGGCCUGUGCUGGCAAUUCAGAGGGUAGCCUCUCCCGCACCCCCCCCCCCCCCCCCCCCCCCGCUCACAUCCCUCCAGUUCCAGUUUGAGUUGUUCUAACUCAGGGAGCGGUGUAGCCAUCUUAUUCAGAAAAGGCAUAAACGGUAAUAACAGUAAUGGAACGUGCUAGGCUUUGCAUAAACUUGGCUGACACAUCUCUAUUAGCUAAAAU